CCCGGGCGCUGCUGGGGAAUCUAUCCGACUAUGACUCGUACCAAUGCCCCCCCGGAUUCGACUGUUGGAACCAGCAAUCAUGCCCGAAGC
This 90-nucleotide non-coding RNA is filed under the name Lotharella globosa. The record is from RNAcentral. Lineage: Eukaryota; Cercozoa; Chlorarachniophyceae.